Molecule: long non-coding RNA, 1213 nt
Filed under: Fukomys damarensis (Damara mole-rat)
Lineage: Eukaryota; Metazoa; Chordata; Mammalia; Rodentia; Bathyergidae
Description: lncRNA (ENSFDAG00000032501.1)
Source: RNAcentral
GUUGUGUAUUGGAGAUUAUAGAUCAUAGAGGUAGAAUCGCUUUAGGAAAGCCAGCAAGCCUCUGGGUAGCUUUGGGUUUUGUGUGUGUGUGUGUGUGUGUGUGUGUGUGUGUGUGUGUGUGUGUGUGUUAGUCAAAACACAGAUUCCAAAGGGGGUUAGGGAAGGGAGAUCUGGGCUCAGUUCAAGGCCACCAAGCCAUUGUUGGAAAGAGACAGCUAAUUAAGAAAGGGCAUGCUGUGGUGGAAACGAUUUAUUUAAAUCAAAUCCAUUCCCCCAUCUUUCCUAGGGAUAGUGUCUGGACUUUGUGUAAAUUGUGAGUAUCACUGCCUCAUAAAGGGUGGCUUCUAAAUGAUAUGCUUUGUUAAACAAAAGGUGAUGAAUUAUUUCCUUUUCCCUGUGCCCUGGGCUUCACGUUUAAAGAGUAAGGGCGUGUGGGGAGGAUAAAAUGCCUGAUUUAUGCGGAGGAGGGCACUCCAGGCCUUGGGGAAACAGAGUUGGAGGGAAAGGGACCUGAGCUGGGGCCCACGGCGCAGGAGCUGUCCGGGCCUUUGGUGCUGAACGCAGGUCUGCCAGCCAGGGGUCCAGAGCUCCCCGCGGAGAAAUGGCACCGCCGCCUGUCCCCCAGCUCCCAGUCUAGAUGGGCCAAAUUGGGCGGGCACUGCAGUUGCUUUUUUUCCACGUGAGGAGGGAGUUUCUGGGAACCAGAGUUAGACCCUCCUGAGAAAGCGACGUCAAGCGAUCCAACAAUGCCACCCCCUGCACACACACAACUCUCAGCCUCCUGGUGGUCUGACCAAAUUCUCGCAGCUCUUGCGGUUAGCCUUGGAUGACUUAGGUACCCCACUCCUCCCUCCAGCCCAACCCCCUCGCAACUUUUCCUGGGGGACCUGGUGGUUCCCAGAGAGGAGGGGGAGUGAGGCUCCAGGUCCGCCGAGGAGGAGCUGCGGGCCUCCAUCAAAGUUGAACCUUUCUUCCCACCCAGUAAGCACGUGGACGGCCCCCUUCUUCCUGUCCUCGCCCCGAGACAGCGGUAUCUGGCACCCAGCCCCGGGCGCGGUGGCGGAGAGCUCCGGGAAUCGGGUUUGGAGGCGACCCCGCUCCAAGAAUCAACCCUGCGGCUGCAAAAGCGAGCGGGCCACACAGCCGGGGAGGACGGAGAGGGAGCCCGCAGCCGAAGCGGCGGAGCGCCCGAGUCCUCCAGACCCAUCCCCGC